UUGUCACAUGCUGAAUAACCGCUGGGCUGGGCCUUUUCCGCCUGCUAUCCACACACCACCUGCCAGGCCCACUAACACACAUUCAUUUUAUUUUCAUUUCUUUUCUUAUUUCCAUUUUUAUUUUUCUGUUUUGUUUUUUAAUUAAUAAAAAUAUUUUAUUUGUUCAUAAAAAUACCAAAAAAUAUUUUUUACUUUCCUUAAUGUUUUA
RNAcentral lists this long non-coding RNA (208 nucleotides) under Lathyrus oleraceus (garden pea). Its description in RNAcentral is "Pisum sativum (pea) long non-coding RNA (PSAT_LNC014477)". Lineage: Eukaryota; Viridiplantae; Streptophyta; Magnoliopsida; Fabales; Fabaceae. The record is from RNAcentral.